This 69-nucleotide transfer RNA is filed under the name Acanthobdella peledina. RNAcentral describes it as "tRNA-Gln". It matches the Rfam family "tRNA". Rfam says of the family: Transfer RNA (tRNA) molecules are approximately 80 nucleotides in length. Lineage: Eukaryota; Metazoa; Annelida; Clitellata; Acanthobdellida. The record is from RNAcentral.
UAUUUUAUAGUGUAUGACCCACAUAAACCUUUGACGUUUAAAAAUUAAGUUCGAAUCUUAUAAAAAUAU